This 342-nucleotide unclassified non-coding RNA is filed under the name uncultured Russula. RNAcentral's name for it is "sequence contains ITS2". Lineage: Eukaryota; Fungi; Basidiomycota; Agaricomycetes; Russulales; Russulaceae. The record is from RNAcentral.
AACGCACCUUGCGCCCCUUGGCAUUCCGAGGGGCACACCCGUUUGAGUGUCGUGAAAUUCUCAGAAACCUUUCUUUGGAAAGGAUUUUGGACUUGGAGGCCUUUUGCUGGUUUCACCUUGAAGCGAGCUCCUCCCAAAUGGAUUAGUGGGGUCUGCUUUGCUGAUCCUUGACGUGAUAAGAUGAUUUCUACGUCUUGGGUUUGGCACUGUCACUUGGGCACCCGCUUCUAACCGUCUUGUAGACAACGAUGGCGUUCCGGUCACCACCGUUUCAUCGGUGGGAGGCUUGACCCACCAAAAAACCUUGACCUCAAAUCGGGUGAGACUACCCGCUGAACUUAA